AGCCGACCCAAAAACCCAAAUAAUAGAAACCUCAUUCUUAGUUUGGUGGAUUCUUAUUUAUAUUACAUUCAUGUACAAAUACAUGCCCACAUAUAGUUGCUUAAAUGAUAGCCUUGUACAUAUAGAUGGAUGGCCUCUAUUGAAGCAUAAAUCCUCUAUAGUCAUCAUGCAUUGCCAUUCCUAUGACUCAUGUGCCAUUAGUUAGGGAAUCAAGGCACAGCAUGCUCCAUCGUCGAAGUC
RNAcentral lists this long non-coding RNA (240 nucleotides) under Elaeis guineensis (African oil palm). RNAcentral's name for it is "long non-coding RNA (EGUI_LNC029814)". The record is from RNAcentral. Lineage: Eukaryota; Viridiplantae; Streptophyta; Magnoliopsida; Arecales; Arecaceae.